This 361-nucleotide ribosomal RNA is filed under the name uncultured bacterium. Its description in RNAcentral is "bacterial SSU rRNA". It matches the Rfam family "Bacterial small subunit ribosomal RNA", at positions 118 to 507 of the family's 1533-position model. The record is from RNAcentral.
UUGGAACCUGCCCCAAAGUGAGGAAUAAGCCACCGAAAGGUGGUCUAAUACUUCAUAAUAUCCAUCUCGUAUGGAUUAAAGCUUUAUGCGCUUUGGGAGGGGCCUGCGUAACAUUAGCUUGUUGGUGAGGUAAAAGCUCACCAAGGCUUCGAUGUUUAACUGGUUUGAGAGGAUGACCAGUCACACUGGGACUGAGAUACGGCCCAGACUCCUACGGGAGGCAGCAGUAAGGAAUCUUCCACAAUGGGGCAACCCUGAUGGAGCAAUACCGCGUGCAGGAUGAAGCGUUUCGGCGUGUAAACUGCUUUUAUCACCGAAGAUUAUGACUGUAGGUGAAGAAUAAGGACCGGCUAACUACGUG